UACGGGAGGCAGCAGUGGGGAAUAUUGGGCAAUGGAGGAAACUCUGACCCAGCGACGCCGCGUGCGGGAUGAAGGCCUUCGGGUUGUAAACCGCUUUCAGCAGGGAAGAAGCGAAAGUGACGGUACCUGCAGAAGAAGCACCGGCUAACUAUGUGCCAGCAGCCGCGGUAAUACAUAGGGUGCAAGCGUUGUCCGGAAUUAUUGGGCGUAAAGCGUCCGCAGGUGGCUCUGUAAGUCUGUCGUUAAAGCGUGGAGCUUAACUCCAUUUCAGCGGUGGAAACUACAGAGCUUGAGUGUGGUAGGGGCAGAGGGAAUUCCCGGUGUAGCGGUGAAAUGCGUAGAUAUCGGGAAGAACACCAGUGGCGAAGGCGCUCUGCUGGGCCAUAACUGACACUCAUGGACGAAAGCCAGGGGAGCGAAAGGGAUUAGAUACCCCUGUAGUCCUGGCCGUAAACGAUGAACAUUAGGCGUCGGGGGAAUCGACCCCCUCGGUGUCGUAGCCAACGCGUUAAGUGUUCCGCCUGGGGAGUACGCACGCAAGUGUGAAACUCAAAGGAAUUGACGGGGA
RNAcentral lists this ribosomal RNA (568 nucleotides) under uncultured Synechococcus sp. Its description in RNAcentral is "bacterial SSU rRNA". It matches the Rfam family "Bacterial small subunit ribosomal RNA", at positions 340 to 919 of the family's 1533-position model. Lineage: Bacteria; Bacillati; Cyanobacteriota; Cyanophyceae; Synechococcales; Synechococcaceae. The record is from RNAcentral.